AUUAGGAAUCUUGCGCAAUGGGCGAAAGCCUGACGCAGCGACGCCGCGUGCGGGAUGACGGCCUUCGGGUUGUAAACCGCUUUUGCCGGGGAAGAAGGAUGUGACGGUACCCGGUGAAUAAGCCCCGGCUAACUACGUGCCAGCAGCCGCGGUAAUACGUAGGGGGCGAGCGUUGUCCGAAGUUACUGGGCGUAAAGCGCGCGUAGGCGGCUUUCUAAGUUUGGUGUGAAAGGUUCAGGGCUCAACCCGAACAGUGCACUGAAUACUGGAAGGCUUGAGUGGGGGAGAGGAGAGUGGAAUUCCUGGUGUAGCGGUGAAAUGCGUAGAUAUCAGGAGGAACACCGAUGGCGAAGGCAGCUCUCUGGCCUCUUACUGACGCUGAGGUGCGAAAGCGUGGGGAGCGAACGG
RNAcentral lists this ribosomal RNA (408 nucleotides) under uncultured bacterium. RNAcentral's name for it is "bacterial SSU rRNA". It matches the Rfam family "Bacterial small subunit ribosomal RNA", at positions 354 to 775 of the family's 1533-position model. The record is from RNAcentral.